AUUCUCUUGACGGUGUGUGAGUUUAUACCUACUAAAAGGCUACUUGUGGAAAGGCUAAGAACUAAUUUCCAUCUUCCACCCCACCUGACUGCCAAACCUGUUAUCAUCAGGGUGCCUUCCCAUCCAUUCAUUGGAACAAGAUAUUGAAAGAACCACCAUUCAUCUACCGCUCCGUAUUCUUCCGUUCCAGGAAAAUUUCUGGCUUUAUUUCUUUGAUGCCUUCUUCUCUUCUGCCUUCUCACUUCUCUUUUUAGAGAAUCCCUAAACUCUUUUAGUCAGUUGUCUGGAUACUCAUUCAUAGAGGCCUCACCUGUCUUCCGUACCGACCCAGCCUUCUGUUGCCCUGUAUAGAAAGCAGAAUGAUGGGAAAAGAUGGAGGCAGGUAGAAUGCAGUGAGUUAAAUUGUGUCCCUAAAAAAUAUAUGUCCGUGGCCAGGUACAGUGGCUCAUGCCUGUAAUCCCAGCACUUUGGGAGGCUGAGGGGGCAGAUCACUUGAGGUUAGGAGUUCCAGACCAGCCUGGCCAACAUGGUGAAACCCCGUCUCUACUAAAAUACAAAAUUACAAAAUGCAAAAAUACUGAAAUACAAAAGUACAAAAAUUAACUGGACACGGUAGUGCAAGCCUGUAAUCCCAGCUACUGAGGCUGAGGCAGAAGAAUCGCUUGAACCUGGGAGGCAGAGGUUGCAGUAAGCUGAGAUGGCACCACUGCACUCCAGCCUGGAAGACAGAGCGAGACUCCAUCUCCAAAAAAGGAAAGAACAAAAGAAAAGAAAAGAAAAGAAAGGAAAGGAAAGGAAAGGAAAGAAAAGAAAAGAAAAGAAAAGAAAAGAAAAGAAAAGAAAAGAAAAGAAAAAAUGUCCGUGGCCAGGUACAGUGGCUCACACCUGUAAUCCCAGCACUUUGAAAGGCGGAGGUGGGAGGAUGGCUUGAGCCCAGGAGUUCAAGACCCACCUGGGCAACAUAAAGAGCCCUCAUUUCUACCUUAAAAAAAAAAAAUGUUCAAGUCCUAACUCUCCAUACAUGAGCAAACUUAAUUCGAAAUAGGAUCUUUGCAGAUUUCAUUAAGAAUCUCAAGAUGAGAUCAUCCUUGAUAUAGGUUUGACACAGGUCAAAAUCCAAAGACUUGUGUCCCUAUAAAGAAAGUAGAGGGAGAUUUGAGACACAGGAGAGAGAGGAGAAGGCCAGGUGAAGAUGGAAGCAGGGACGCCCAGGGGUGGUGGCUCACACCUGCAGCCCCAGCACUUUGGGAGGCCGAGGUGAGAGGAUGGCUUGAGUCCAGGAGUUCCAUACCAGCCUGGGCAACACAGAGAGACCUUGUCUCUACAAAAAAAGUUCUAAAAAUUAGCAGACAUGGUGGUCUGCGUCUGUAGUCCCAGCUACUCUGGUGGCUGCGGAUCACUUGAGCCUGAGAGGUGGAGGCUGCAGUGGGCUAUGAUCAUGCCACUACACUUCAGCAUGGGUGACAGAGAGACCCUGUUUCAAAAAAAAUAACAAGUCUCCAGCAUUUUAUUUUGGGGAAAUUGGGUUUGGUUCAUGCUGGUCCCUCUUCCCUGUUGCAAUGGUUUUACUGAAUGAAAUCUUCUUCAGUGCAUUAGCUAGUGGUGGGCUCUGUUUAUCUUUGAUGGGCAGAGCCAGAGGUAUAAAAACAGUGUGCUCAUUCUCCUCCACCUUCCAAUCUCCUGUCUGGGCCCCGCAUUGGCCAAUGGGAGCCUGUGGGUGGUGGGCACCACAGCUGCCUGCUGAUUGGGGCUCUUAUGGUCAGCAUCUGUGCAGACGGCAGGUGGGGAAGGGAAGAGAAGGGAGGGGAAUCCCUCUGGAGGCAACAGAAGCUAGCCAGCACACCCUGCUUCCUGGGCGCUUCUCGUGGCAUCAGCAACAGUCUUAUCAUGACUGUCCCUUAAAACAUUCCAAGGCUGGGUGCGAUGGCUGAUGCCUAUAAUCCCAGCACUUUAGGAGGCUGAGGUGCGUGGAUCACUUGAGCCCAGGAGUUUGAGACCACCCUGGGAAACUUGGCAAAAUCCCAUCUCUACAAAAAAUACAAAAAUUAGCCGGAUGUGGUGGUGUACACCGUAGUCCCAGCUACUCGCGGGACUGAGAAGUGGAAGGAUCGCUUGAGCCCAGGAGGUC
RNAcentral lists this long non-coding RNA (2128 nucleotides) under Homo sapiens (human). RNAcentral describes it as "non-protein coding lnc-TVP23A-4:1". The record is from RNAcentral. Lineage: Eukaryota; Metazoa; Chordata; Mammalia; Primates; Hominidae.